UAUAUUAUCCAAGUUCUGGACAAUGGUAUGAAUUACUCUAACAAUCGGAAGAGGAGGGAAUGUUAAAAAUCUGAACCCAUUCAGAAUGAGGUGAAGGGAAGAAAGACAAAUCCAAUAAAUAUAUGUUGUCAGUAUAUAAACUACAAACUAAUGAAUGCUCACGGAAUGUGCUCAGGAGGUUUAAAUUUACUUAUUACAGUUUAAUGUCAUGUUUCAGAAAUACACAUUAGAACCAGAGAGAACACUGAACCAGUACAGACUGAGUCUGCAUUUCAGAGGAGAACAGGAAGAGCAGGGCUUCUAGCCCUGGACUACCUCAGACACAACCUUAGAGGCCUUGAGGAAGCUCUGGCCACUCACCUGGCUCCGCUGUCCCUCACCUCACGCGCAAUCCAGCCCUUCCUUAUGGAAUCGCAUAAUCUAAACUCUGGUCUCUCUGCUCCAUCUCCAGCAAUGGCUUUUCUAACUGGCAU
RNAcentral lists this long non-coding RNA (473 nucleotides) under Bos taurus (domestic cattle). RNAcentral's name for it is "long non-coding RNA NONBTAT009235". The record is from RNAcentral. Lineage: Eukaryota; Metazoa; Chordata; Mammalia; Artiodactyla; Bovidae.